Non-coding RNA from Pelobates cultripes (western spadefoot toad), 1145 nucleotides. NCBI's taxonomy places the organism in Eukaryota, Metazoa, Chordata, Amphibia, Anura, Pelobatidae. The record is from the annotation of a GenBank genome assembly.
GGGUCAAGAAGGAUAUAUUUCCUAGUGUGUUGCAAAAUUGGAAGCACUUGAGACUGGGUUUAUUGCCUUUUGGAUAAACAGCAAAAACAAAUGUGAGAAAGGCUGAACUUGAUGGAGCAUGUCCCUUUUCAGGUAUGUAACUCUCCAUAGCACUGCAGAAUUUGUUGGCACUUUCUAAAUAAUAAUAAUGUGACUAUAUAGGGCACUUGGCAGGAUGGCCAUCUAAAGCAUUGAUUUUCAAACCUUUUUGACAGGAAGUAAAUAUAGCUAGGUGACCCAUUCAUCAAAUAUAAAAUAAUGUAGAAAAAUGCAUUUAUCAAAACUUUUAUUCAACUUAUCCCUCUAGCAAAGGGUUCUUCAGGUCUAUUAUAGUAUAGCAUUCACUGUGGGCUGUUGGCUGAGGCCAGGUAAAUAUACAUGCCAACUUAAAAAACUGAUGAUCCGCUGCAACAGUGUGGGGAUCAAUUUUAUGUCUAAAGCUGGAGUUAAAGCACCACUGACUUAAUGGUACGUGCAUACAGUACAGGUGCUGCAUACUUAUACAUUCAUAACCAUGUCCUGUUUAGUUCCAGACAGAGAAAAACAUAACAUAGAGAUAUUUAUAAGUGAAAUAAAUGUUUGGAUGUAUUCCAGCUUCCUUCCAGCUGUUACUAUAAUGUUAUAUUUUUCUAUUUAUAGACGCUACAAUCACAGUUGUAAAGUAGCUAAAUGUUUUACUUGAAAAGUACACAAUGCUGGAUUGGUUUGGACUGAUUCAUUUGUGUUUGGUGAAUCAUACCAAAUACUAUAGAGUCAAUUGACUAAACAUUGAUUCUUUUUAUAGUAAUGGUGCAUUUUUAUGCAAUAUAAUUACUACUGGGUGCAAGUAAGAAGUCCAGUCCAAAAUAAAUAGUCACCAAACAUAGAAAAAUCGUACCAUCAGACCUUUUGCAAUUUACUGCAUAGUGUUGUCACUUCUUGGGCUUUAAUGGAAGGUAAUCAGAUUUGAUUGAUAUAGAAUCCUACUUGAAUAGUCUAAAUUCUCUAUCAAACAGACUGAUAUACAUGAAGAACUCUGUUACAUUUCUAGAUCCUCAUUCAACUAGCACUCAUCCAGUAGCACAUAAAAGAACAUAUCUUCGUGUUUCACUCCAUCUUGACUGGCU